UUUCUUCUUGUUUAAAUAAUGCUGCAUAGUUCAUUGUGCAUUAUGUAUAAACUUAUUUCAUACAAGUUGUAAGUGAUAAUAGCCGUUUCUUUUUUACUUUUUGGGAUCUGCUUUGCUGGCAAGUCUGUGAAUUGUGCAUAUAAGACCUGUGGUUUUAUCUGCUGAUAACAUUAAUUACAGAAUAUAAACAUUAAUAUAUAUAUUUGUUAAUAUCUGUCAUAACCCAAGACAUCACUGAUUUGUUAGAUUCUGUUUAUUUGGAAUUUGCAUAACUAGAGUCUCAGCAAAUGUUUUGCAGAAUUGCUAAAUUCUAUAAAUAUUGUUUUGUAGUAGAAAUUACUAAAUGAAAGUAUGAGACAAAGAAGAAUAACAUUUAUUGGAGGUAUUUUUUUCCUAAUAACUUUUGUUCAUAAGCGCCGCUGAUUUUAUAUUACGUAAUAAGCAUGGAGUAUUUUGAAAUUCUUAUUAAUAGUCAGAUUUAGGGAAUAUUUAGUCAAUUUUUUCUUAUAAUGCAUUAGAAAGAGCAGGUAGUAUCUAUUGUAGUAAAAAUGGUAGAAUGUUGCCUUAAGUGGUUUGGGCAUGUGUAAGACUUGUAAAAACACUAAUAAGGAGAGUAGAGAAGAUGCUAGAUAGAGGGUAGUCCUAUCACUGGAGGUAGAGGGAGAUUGUCAAAAACUAUUGGUGAAAGUGAAACCGUAAAGAAGGAUUUAGAGGUUAAUGGUCUAGUUGUCCACAAACAUGAUUUACUAUAGAACAUUAUGGGUCAUUUGAUCCAUAAGCAUACAGCUAAUGCCUGACCCCACCCAAUGGGAAAAGGCUUGGUUUUUGUAAUCAAAUUAGGGAGUGAUAUUAUUCUAGUUUUCUGUUCUUCCAAAAUCUAAAGUAAUUUACACGCUGCUUGAAAAGGAAAUUAGGUUUGAAUAACAAUUGUUGUUUUAGUGACCAAAUCUUUUAAUUAAUAAUUUAAGAUGCGAUGUUUAAGUCUGAGGCUUGAAAUCAUGAUUGAGUUGGCAGUGGAAGAAUCAGAGAUUAACCCGUCCAAAUUUUGGGGUAGCAACGGUGCUGGCCCUUCCUAAUUUAUGAUUAAAUUUCUUAUUUCAAUGGAGACAUAAAAUUUAGAAGAAAAAAGAGAAAAAUACAUUUUGUGCCUGCCCUAACUGAAGCCCUGUAGUGUGGCCCCACAAGGAUUUUCCCCAAAGAUCAGCAGUGGAAAUCUUACCAAUGUUGUGCUUCCACCUAGCAAAUUAAGCUUUUGUGUUGAAUCAGUUCUUGAUAUGGUUAUAGCCUUCUUGUCCAAGUAAUUAGACAUUUGGACGUUUAAUUUAGGUUGCAUUGGUUCUUGACUGUUACCAAUUGAUUCCUAGGAAACCUACAAAAGCAAUAGGUUGUUGUUCUUGAACUUUAGUGCUGUCUUACCUUUCCGCUCUUCUAUAACAUUUUUCUUUUUCCUUCUCCAGAUCAUAUAUUUGAGUGUUGUUCCUUUUCUCUCUUAAAAUUCCGUAUGUUAAGUGUAAGGGAUGCACUAGUGAGAAGAGUAGAUUGUAUGGUUUUUAGCCCGGUGAAGAAGAGAGGGAGGCCAAGAAGGAUAUUGGAGAAACUGAUCAAGAUGGAUCUCAUGGUAAAUAAAAUUUCUAAAUCUCUAGUCUUUAACCAAGCGAAUGACAUUGGCAACAUGUGAUCCCCCAUGUAGACAACCUCACCUAGAUAACAGAUUUUUCUUCAAUCCUUUCUUGAGUUCUUACUUCUUACCCUAACUUGAGUUGGGUCUUAUCGAUGACUUUGCCUAUAAGUUAGUUGUGAGUAAGAAAACUGUUGUUCUCAGUUGAAGCUAGGCUGCCAGUAGCAUGUGAGCUAAGAUAAUUCUAGAAAGGUCUCGUUCCUUUCUAUGUUGUCAAUAGCGGCCGUAGCGGCGGAGUGGAGCAGAGCGGCACCCAUCCGCGACGGACACGUGUGUAGCGGUGCGGUUUCGGGUCGCGGCCGCUAUCGCGGCGGAGCGGUUUUUCGUGCCGCUACUCGAAGCAGUGGAAAUUCCAAAAAUACCCUCACUUAAUGAGGGUAAGUGAGGGUAUUUUUGGUUUUUGGUUUGUCUUCUAAAACCUGUUGUUUCUCGAUUUAUCGGGGCUCCAUUGUUGCGCUGGAAAACAUUGCGAAAACCCUAGCACUGCCGUUGCUGCUCUGCGUUCCGUCCACCGUCCGUUCCGGCGCCGUUGCUGCGUUCCGGCCACCGUCCGUUCCGGCGCCGUUGCUGCUCUGCGUUCCGGCCACCGUACGUUCCUAGUGUUGUCGUUGCUGCUCUGCUCCAUUGUUCUGCACUUUUGCUUACUCCUGCACCUGCGACACCUAUUCUGUUCCGUUCCUCCAUUCUGUUUUGACUUCGGUUCUGCUUCCGUUCCUCCGUUCUGUUCUGACUUCGGUUCUGCACUUCUGCUUACUCCUGCACCAUGGCAUCCUCUGAUCAACAAAAGAAUAUCAAUUUAGAGGGGUCUUCAACUGGAAUGUUCAAGCCUAUGGGUGAUAAGGUAGAUGUCUUUUGGAAAUGGAACAGCUUAAAGGAUAAAAAUAACAGGAAGAGUGUGACGUGAUUUUUGUCACAAAACGUCUACUGGAGGAAUUUCUAGAGCAAGAAGACAUCAACUUCAAAUAAAAGGAGAUGUGGGUUCUUGUAAGAAAGUACUGGAGGAUGUUAAAUUAGAAAUGAUUUUUGUUUAUGAGAAGAAAAUAGCUGAAACUGCAGCAUACAUGGAGGCAACGCAAGAAGAAGAUGACGAAGAGGAAGAUGGGAUCCAAGAGAUUGCAAGACUUAAAAGUGGAAAAAGGCCUCCAGCAACAUCAAAUGAAGCCUCCUCAACUGCUUCCAAGAAGAGGACCACAAAUAAAAAAGGCCCUCUUGAUUUUUUGUUCUCCAAAGAACCUGAAGAAAGUAUCAAAUUUGGAAAAACCAUGAGACAAACAAGUGUAAAUGAAUCUUAUAACAAGGCAUCAAGAGACAGGGCAGUUCAGUACAUUGCUCGUUUCUUUUUUAGGAAUGGAAUAGCAUUCAAUGUUGCUAAAUCAAAAAGUUUCAAGUUGAUGAUUCAGGCAAUUGGAAUCUAUGGUCCUCAUUUAAAGCCUCCAAGCUAUCAUGAAUUGAGAGUUCCACUCCUUAAAAAAGAGUUGGAAUACAUGAAGGGCUUAUUGAGGGGUCAUGAGGAGAAGGGAAUCAAAUAUGGAUGUUCAAUUAUGUAAGAUGGUUGGACAGAUAGGAAGAAUAGAACUUUGAUUAACUUUUUGGUAAAUUGUUCAUUGGGAACGCAGUUUGUGAGGAGUGUGGAUGCUUCUGAAUACAUGAAGACUGGUCAGAAGAUCUUUGAUCUUUUGGAUAGCUUUGUUGAGGAGAUUGGAGAAAAGAAUGUUAUUCAAGUGGUGACGGACAAUCGAAGUAAUUAUGUGUUGGCGGCAGUGUUAUCAAAUGGCGGCAAUGGCGGCACUAUGGCGGUUUUGCAUGGUGAAAGUUUGAAAAAACGCCACCGAAUAGCGGUGGCGUGGCGGGUUUACAAUGGCGGCCGCUAUAGCCAUGGUGGUCAUGGUGGUAUAGCGGAAAUAGCGGGUUUUUUUGUUUUUUUUUUUUGCGCGGUAGGAGUUGGGCUGACCCGACCCAACCUUACUCGUUAUGUUAUUCAAAAGUGCAACGGGGAAACGCAGCACAGAACGCAGCACGCGACCAGGAGCGACAUCCCGCACCCAGCAGCCACCGUGCACUCAGCAGCGACGACCCCGUGGCCCGCACGCACGACCCAGCAGCGACGAGCACCGGCAGAUGACCCCGUGAAGGCGACGCCGCACCGACCCCGCACCUCGCACCCUCACGAAGGUGAAUGUCGCGGCGCAGCUUCAGUGUGGUGCGCUUCUUUAUAUUUAUUUAUUUUUGUUGUUUGACACCCGUUUUUGAUGUCUACAACUUUUUUUUUUCGUUUUUCUAUUUGACACCCUCUUUUUAUUUUUGACCGUCCCAUUUUUAUUUUUUUUUUCUAUUUGACACCAUUUUUUUUUCUGUUCAGUCCUCUUUUAAAUGGCUGAACCAUCCGCCAUGACAUCUGUUAUUUUCCGCUAUGCCAUCUGUCAUAUUUUUAUGGCGGAUUUUUGGCUUUCGGCCAUGAACCACCAUCUGCCAUUAACAACAUUGGUUGGCGGGUAAAAUUUUACAAGUCACGAGACCAAAAAUAUUUUGGACUCCAUGUGCUGCACAUUGUCUUGACUUGAUGCUAGAAGAUAUUGGAAAGAUCCCAAAAGUAAAAAGGGUUAUACAAAGAGGCAUCAAGCUUGUAGGCUACAUUUACAACCAUACAUUCGCUUUGAACACCAUGAGGAAAUUCACACAAAAAACUGAAUUGGUGAGACACGGAGUUACAAGAUUUGCUACCACUUUCUUAACUUUGCAAAGAUUGCAUAAGCCAAAGGCCAAUCUUUGAAGGACUUCGGAUGAAUGGUUGAAGUCUAAGGCAGCUAAAGAGCCCAAGGGGAAGAAAGCAGCUGAUGUUGUUCUUAUGCCAUCAUUUUGGAAUGAUGCUGUCUACACUUUAAAGGCUAUGGGGCCUCUUGUAAGUGUGUUGAGGUUGGUGGAUAAUGAAAAAAAGAAAAACUGCAAUGGGUUUCAUUUAUGAAGCAAUGGAUAGGGCCAAAGAGGCAAUUCAAAGAGCUUUCAAUAACAAUGAAGGGAAGUAUAAGGAUAUCCUUGCAAUCAUUGAUAAAAGAUGGGAUUGUCAACUUCACCACCCUUUGCAUGCAACGGGUUAUUAUCUAAAUCCGAAGUUUUUUUACACCAAUCCAAACAUUGACAAUGAUAAUGAAGUGGUGGAUGACCUCUACAAAUGUAUUGAUAGGCUUAGUGAAGAUGAUGAUUUUGUAGUUGAAGUUCACAAACAAUUGCUACUGGAGAGAGGUUUGGUAUGACUGUAGCAAUGAAAUCAAUGACUGAAAGUUCUAAGUUUGACUUGUAGUUCAUCGGGAUGUGAGCGUAAUUGGAGUACUUUUGAGCAUAUUCACUCAAAGAAGAGAAGUAGGCUUGAGCACCAAAAGCUUCAAGACUUGGUUUAUGUUAAGUAUAACCAAGCUCUUCUAGAUCGCUUUGAGUGUCAUGAUGAUAUUGAUCCUAUUGCUUUAAAUGAUAUUGAUAAUAGCAAUGAGUGGUUAUUGGGAGAAUUGGAAGGAGAAGAAGCUGGUAAUGAUUUGGUUUUUGAUGAUGAUGAUGAUUUGAAUUGGUUAGAUGUUGCUGAGGCAACUGGGACUGGUGAACCUUUACAAAACACAAGGAGUCAAACACAGAUAAACAAGGCAGCAGCUGCACCUGCACCUACAAAUGAAAAAGGAAAAUAAGUGGUGGAAGUGGAAGAAGAGAAUGGAGAUGAGGGGGAAGAAGAGUACAAUUCUAAUGCUAGUGAGAGUGAUGGAUUUCAAGAACAUAAUGACUUGGAUCUUGAAGAGGAUGAAGAUUCUGAUUAGUAAUUUAGUAUUAAGAAACUUGCAUUUGUCUAUUUGAAUUUUAAUGUCUACUUGUCUAUUAUUAUAGUUACUUUAGGCUUUAGCUUAGAAGGAUUAAGGCUUUAAGCCUUUUAUUUGCUUGACUUUCUACUUUAUGUUUUGUAACUUUUGUUUAAGUAAUUAUGUUUUCAGUUAUUUUUUUAUUUUUUGAACUUAUAUAUAUAUAUACAUAUUAUUAAUUAUUUAACAUAUAUAAAAAAACAUUAGAAUAGUAGUCAUCCCGCUAUCCGCUAUCCGCUAUCCCACUAUCCCACUUUUGGGGUCGGCCGCUCCGCUCCGCUACGCCUGUAUUGACAACUAUGGUUCCUUUUGUUUUUAUUGAGUUGAAAGAUCAUGUUUUUGUAUGUGCAAAUAAUGCUUAUAUUUGUUCUUGGUGUUACAUGUGCAAAGAGGCAGAGAUUUCUUGUCUUUCUAGUGAACAGAAAAUAAUAAUAAUAAUGAAAGGUAAAUAGUCAAAUAUGAAAGUUCACAAAUCCAAACUGUAGCUCUACUCCAAAUUUCCCUAUAUAAAAUGCCGAGGAUUGAAUAAUUCAAUUGGGAAGUGACGGAUGUAAUUAUGAAGUUAUAGGUAGCUUUUGAUGCUUUAUUACAUUACAUAGUACAUACAGUUCUCUAUGUAUUUGGGUAAAAAAGACAUGAGCAUAUGAACUCAACUUUUUGUUCUCUCUGUAAUUAAUUCUUGUGAAGAGGAAACUUUUGUGACUUUUUGUUUCUCUGUGGGUUUCUCUUUUAGUAUUAUUUUCUAUGUUCUGUUCCAAUUCUACUAUGUCUUUGUAUCAUUACCGUUUCAAAGUAUAUUUUUUUUCCUCUGC
Glycine soja is the source of this 6329-nucleotide long non-coding RNA. RefSeq lists it as uncharacterized. The transcript has 3 exons. Lineage: Eukaryota; Viridiplantae; Streptophyta; Magnoliopsida; Fabales; Fabaceae. The record is from RefSeq and is a predicted model, not a curated record.